AUUGAACGCUGGCGGAAUGCUUUACACAUGCAAGUCGAACGGCAGCACGGGGGCAGCCCUGGUGGCGAGUGGCGAACGGGUGAGUAAUACAUCGGAACGUGCCCGGCUGUGGGGGAUAACGUAGCGAAGGAUACGCUAAUACCGCAUACGAUCAGAGGAUGAAAGCGGGGGACCUUCGGGCCUUGCGCGCUCGGACCGGCCGAUGUCGGAUUAGGUAGUUGGUGGGGUAAAGGCCUACCAAGCCGACGAUCUGUAGCUGGCCUGAGAGGACGACCAGCCACACUGGAACUGAGACACGGUCCAGACUCCUACGGGAGGCAGCAGUGGGGAAUUUUGGACAAUGGGCGCAAGCCUGAUCCAGCCAUUCCGCGUGCAGGACGAAGGCCUUCGGGUUGUAAACUGCUUUUGUUCGGAACGAAAAGGCUCUGGCUAAUACCUGGCGCUCAUGACGGUACCGUAAGAAUAAGCACCGGCUAACUACGUG
Molecule: ribosomal RNA, 484 nt
Filed under: uncultured bacterium
Lineage: Bacteria
Description: partial 16S ribosomal RNA
Rfam family: Bacterial small subunit ribosomal RNA
Source: RNAcentral